GACGAACGCUGGCGGCGUGCCUAAUACAUGCAAGUCGAACGAGAGCAACCGGUGCUUGCACUGGUCAAUCUAGUGGCGAACGGGUGAGUAACACGUGGGUAACCUGCCCAUCAGAGGGGGAUAACAUCCGGAAACGGAUGCUAAAACCGCAUAGGUCUUCGAACCGCAUGGUUUGAAGAGGAAAAGAGGCGCAAGCUUCUGCUGAUGGAUGGACCCGCGGUGCAUUAGCUAGUUGGUGAGGUAACGGCUCACCAAGGCCGUGAUGCAUAGCCGACCUGAGAGGGUGAUCGGCCACAUUGGGACUGAGACACGGCCCAAACUCCUACGGGAGGCAGCAGUAGGGAAUCUUCCGCAAUGGACGCAAGUCUGACGGAGCAACGCCGCGUGAGUGAAGAAGGUUUUCGGAUCGUAAAACUCUGUUGUUAGAGAAGAACAAGUGCUAGAGUAACUGUUAGCGCCUUGACGGUAUCUAACCAGAAAGCCACGGCUAACUACGU
Molecule: ribosomal RNA, 497 nt
Filed under: uncultured bacterium
Lineage: Bacteria
Description: partial 16S ribosomal RNA
Rfam family: Bacterial small subunit ribosomal RNA
Source: RNAcentral